ACGACUGUAGCUCAGUUGGUUAGAGCACUACCUUGACAUGGCAGGGGUCGGUGGUUCGAAUCCACUCAGUCGUACCA
Molecule: transfer RNA, 77 nt
Filed under: Pseudoalteromonas sp. SG45-6
Lineage: Bacteria; Pseudomonadati; Pseudomonadota; Gammaproteobacteria; Alteromonadales; Pseudoalteromonadaceae
Description: tRNA-Val
Rfam family: tRNA
About the family: Transfer RNA (tRNA) molecules are approximately 80 nucleotides in length. Their secondary structure includes four short double-helical elements and three loops (D, anti-codon, and T loops). Further hydrogen bonds mediate the characteristic L-shaped molecular structure. tRNAs have two regions of fundamental functional importance: the anti-codon, which is responsible for specific mRNA codon recognition, and the 3' end, to which the tRNAs corresponding amino acid is attached (by aminoacyl-tRNA synthetases). tRNAs cope with the degeneracy of the genetic code in two manners: having more than one tRNA (with a specific anti-codon) for a particular amino acid; and 'wobble' base-pairing, i.e. permitting non-standard base-pairing at the 3rd anti-codon position.
Source: RNAcentral